CCCUCAGUAGCGGCGAGCGAACAGGGAAGAGCCCAGCACCGAAUCCCGCGGUCGUAACCGGUCGCCGGGAAAUGUGGUGUUAGGGAGGAUCACUGUCCCGUGGUCGCGCGGCGCGUCCAAGUCCAUCUUGAACGGGGCCACUUACCCAUAGAGGGUGCCAGGCCCGUAGCGACCGCCGCCGGCAACGGGGGGAUCUCUCCUCAGAGUCGGGUUGCUUGAGAGUGCAGCCCUAAGUGGGUGGUAAACUCCAUCUAAGGCUAAAUAUAACCACGAGACCGAUAGCGAACAAGUACCGUGAGGGAAAGUUGAAAAGAACUUUGAAGAGAGAGUUCAACAGUACGUGAAACCGUUCAGGGGUAAACCUGAGAAACUCGAAAGUUCGAAUGGGGAGAUUCAGCGCGUCUCGCGCGGCGCGAAUGGGGAGUGCGCGACGGCCGGCGUCCGCGCCGACCGCGCCCUCAACGUCGCAGCCGCUCGAACGUGUGCACUUCUCCCCUAGUAGAAAGUCGUGACCCGUUGGGCGUCGGUCUACGGCCCGCGGUGGAGCCCGCGCGGAAUGCUUCGGCACUCCGCCGGACCCGCGGUGUCCCGGCCGGCUCGCUCGACGGCGAGGACAGUGGUGCGGGGCCGCGUUUAUCGCGUCCGGCACGCGGCAAGCGCAAACGGUACAAUCCGGCCGUCGGACCUGGUGCCGACACCGGACCCGGUUGGCUGCUGGCUGCGUUGCUCUCGGACAGACCCCGGCUUUACACCGGUCCACGAAGCUUUUGCAUUGGGUACUCUCAGGACCCGUCUUGAAACACGGACCAAGGAGUCUAGCAUGUGCGCGAGUCAUUGGGACGAACGAAACCUAAAGGCGAAAUGAAAGCGAAGGCCGUUUUAGGACGUGCCGAGGGAGGAUGCGGAGCGCCGAGGCGUUCCGCCGCACUCCCGGGGCGUCUCGAGCUCAUCGCGAGCUGAGGCGCACCCAGAGCGUACACGCUGGGACCCGAAAGAUGGUGAACUAUGCCUGGUCAGGACGAAGUCAGGGGAAACCCUGAUGGAGGUCCGUAGCGAUUCUGACGUGCAAAUCGAUCGUCGGAACUGGGUAUAGGGGCGAAAGACUAAUCGAACCAUCUAGUAGCUGGUUCCCUCCGAAGUUUCCCUCAGGAUAGCUGGCGCUCAUGCGCGAGUCUCAUCCGGUAAAGCGAAUGAUUAGAGGCAUUGGGGUCGAAACGGCCUCAACCUAUUCUCAAACUUUAAAUGGGUGAGAUCUCCGGCUUGCUUGAACAGUGAAGCCGCGAGAUGAUCACGGAUCAGAG
RNAcentral lists this ribosomal RNA (1301 nucleotides) under Nudobius cephalus. Its description in RNAcentral is "eukaryotic LSU rRNA". It matches the Rfam family "Eukaryotic large subunit ribosomal RNA", at positions 77 to 1121 of the family's 3401-position model. Lineage: Eukaryota; Metazoa; Arthropoda; Insecta; Coleoptera; Staphylinidae. The record is from RNAcentral.